Molecule: non-coding RNA, 485 nt
Organism: Peromyscus maniculatus bairdii (prairie deer mouse)
Lineage: Eukaryota; Metazoa; Chordata; Mammalia; Rodentia; Cricetidae
Source: RefSeq, a predicted model, not a curated record
CCUAGGAACGCACCGCAGGCAAGGGAGGGGGCCCGGGCAUUGACGUCAGAGGGGCGGGGCCUCGGCGCCCCACCCAACCGCUCUCCACUCAGCCUGGUCCCAGCUUGGACAACCAAGCUGAGGCAGAGACAUCGAGUCACAGACACAAAGUAUCCAAGCCAGGAAGUGGCCGCAGGAUCGGAACCUCACAUGCUGGGCUCUACCAAGAUGUUUCCUGGGCGUCCUGUUGGGCUUGCAGUUGGGGUUGGACGUCAGAGCUGGAGCACUGAGGGGAAGACGUUGCUCUCGGGCCAGCAGGUACCUCCUCCUCUCUGGCCUGUGACCCUGUCCUUCCUGUCCUGCCCAGGUGGAGACUCAGAAGAAAGGACUGCCGAUCCUUGCCAAGACAAGGCAGAAAAGCCCUUUAGAAAAUCCUGCUUCACAGAUGAGUCUGUCAGAUAUGCUAGGCCUGUAGGCUGAAGAUGGGUACCCCAACGUUGCAGAGG